UACGGGGGGGGCAAGCGUUGUUCGGAAUUACUGGGCGUAAAGGGCUCGUAGGCGGCCAACUAAGUCAGACGUGAAAUCCCUCGGCUUAACCGGGGAACUGCGUCUGAUACUGGAUGGCUUGAGUUUGGGAGAGGGAUGCGGAAUUCCAGGUGUAGCGGUGAAAUGCGUAGAUAUCUGGAGGAACACCGGUGGCGAAGGCGGCAUCCUGGACCAACACUGAUGCUGAGGCGCGAAAGCGUGGGGAGCGAACAGG
This 253-nucleotide ribosomal RNA is filed under the name uncultured bacterium. RNAcentral describes it as "partial 16S ribosomal RNA". It matches the Rfam family "Bacterial small subunit ribosomal RNA", at positions 524 to 776 of the family's 1533-position model. The record is from RNAcentral.